GCUCAGGACGAACGCUGGCGGCGUGCCUAAUACAUGCAAGUAGAACGCUGAAGAGAGGAGCUUGCUCUUCUUGGAUGAGUUGCGAACGGGUGAGUAACGCGUAGGUAACCUGCCUUGUAGCGGGGGAUAACUAUUGGAAACGAUAGCUAAUACCGCAUAACAAUGGAUGACACAUGUCAUUUAUUUGAAAGGGGCAAUUGCUCCACUACAAGAUGGACCUGCGUUGUAUUAGCUAGUAGGUGAGGUAACGGCUCACCUAGGCGACGAUACAUAGCCGACCUGAGAGGGUGAUCGGCCACACUGGGACUGAGACACGGCCCAGACUCCUACGGGAGGCAGCAGUAGGGAAUCUUCGGCAAUGGGGGCAACCCUGACCGAGCAACACCGCGUGAGUGAAGAAGGUUUUCGGAUCGUAAAGCUCUGUUGUAAGUCAAGAACGAGUGUGAGAGUGGAAAGUUCACACUGUGACGGUAGCUUACCAGAAAGGGACGGCUAACUACGUGCCAGCAGCCGCGGUAGUACGUAGGUCCCGAGCGUUGUCCAGAUUUAUUGGGCGUAAAGCGAGCGCAGGCGGUUUGAUAAGUCUGAAGUUAAAGGCUGUGGCUCAACCAUAGUUCGCUUUGGAAACUGUCAAACUUGAGUGCAGAAGGGGAGAGUGGAAUUCCAUGUGUAGCGGUGAAAUGCGUAGAUAUAUGGAGGAACACCGGUGGCGAAAGCGGCUCUCUGGUCUGUAACUGACGCUGAGGCUCGAAAGCGUGGGGAGCGAACAGGAUUAGAUACCCUGGUAGUCCACGCCGUAAACGAUGAGUGCUAGGUGUUGGAUCCUUUCCGGGAUUCAGUGCCGCAGCUAACGCAUUAAGCACUCCGCCUGGGGAGUACGACCGCAAGGUUGAAACUCAAAGGAAUUGACGGGGGCCCGCACAAGCGGUGGAGCAUGUGGUUUAAUUCGAAGCAACGCGAAGAACCUUACCAGGUCUUGACAUCCCGAUGCUAUUUCUAGAGAUAGAAAGUUACUUCGGUACAUCGGUGACAGGUGGUGCAUGGUUGUCGUCAGCUCGUGUCGUGAGAUGUUGGGUUAAGUCCCGCAACGAGCGCAACCCCUAUUGUUAGUUGCCAUCAUUCAGUUGGGCACUCUAGCGAGACUGCCGGUAAUAAACCGGAGGAAGGUGGGGAUGACGUCAAAUCAUCAUGCCCCUUAUGACCUGGGCUACACACGUGCUACAAUGGUUGGUACAACGAGUUGCGAGUCGGUGACGGCAAGCUAAUCUCUUAAGGCCAAUCUCAGUUCGGAUUGUAGGCUGCAACUCGCCUACAUGAAGUCGGAAUCGCUAGUAAUCGCGGAUCAGCACGCCGCGGUGAAUACGUUCCCGGGCCUUGUACACACCGCCCGUCACACCACGAGAGUUUGUAACACCCGAAGUCGGUGAGGUAACCUUUUGGAGCCAGCCGCCUAAGGUGGGAUA
Molecule: ribosomal RNA, 1463 nt
Filed under: uncultured organism
Description: SSU rRNA
Rfam family: Bacterial small subunit ribosomal RNA
Source: RNAcentral